Molecule: ribosomal RNA, 255 nt
Filed under: uncultured bacterium
Lineage: Bacteria
Description: partial 16S ribosomal RNA
Rfam family: Bacterial small subunit ribosomal RNA
Source: RNAcentral
UACAGAGGUGCCCAGCGUUGUUCGGAUUCACUGGGCGUAAAGGGGUGCGUAGGUGGUUAGGUAAGUCCGAUGUGAAAUCGUCAGGCUCAACCUGGAAAUGGCAUUGGAUACUAUCUAGCUUGAGGAGUGGAGGGGGGACUGGAAUUCUCGGUGUAGCAGUGAAAUGCGUAGAUAUCGAGAGGGAACACCAGUGGCGAAGGCGAGUCCCUGGACACUUCUGACACUGAGGCACGAAAGCUAGGGGGAGCAAACAGG